This 1514-nucleotide ribosomal RNA is filed under the name metagenome. Its description in RNAcentral is "bacterial SSU rRNA". It matches the Rfam family "Bacterial small subunit ribosomal RNA". The record is from RNAcentral.
AGAGUUUGAUCCUGGCUCAGAGUGAAUGCUGGCGGCGUGCCUAAUACAUGCAAGUCGAACGAGAAAGCUUUCUUCGGAAGGCAAGUACGGUGGCAGACGGGUGAGUAAUGCAUAGAUAAUCUACCCUUAAGUGAGGAAUAACCCACCGAAAGGUGAGCUAAUACCUCAUAGUAUUAAUUUCUAUUAAGGAUUUUAAUUAAAGGAGGGGCUUCCUAUAUGGAACCUUUCGCUUGAGGAUGAGUCUAUGUCCUAUUAGCUAGAUGGUGGGGUAAUGGCCUACCAUGGCAAUGAUGGGUAGCCGAGCUGAGAGGCUGAUCGGCCACACUGGAACUGAAACACGGUCCAGACUCCCACGGGAGGCUGCAGUAGGGAAUUUUGCGCAAUGGACGAAAGUCUGACGCAGCGACGCCGCGUGAGGGAUGAAAGCCUUCGGGUUGUAAACCUCUGUCAAAAAGGAUCAAGAAUAUUGUGGUUAAUACCCAUGAUAUUUGAUUUAACUUUUAAAGGAAGCCCCGGCUAACUACGUGCCAGCAGCCGCGGUAAUACGUAGGGGGCAAGCAUUACUCGGAUUUACUGGGCGUAAAGGGAGCGUAGGCGGUUUGAUAAGUUAGUGGUGAAAGUCCUCAGCUUAACUGAGGGAUUGCCAUUAAAACUGUCAAACUUGAGGACAGGAGAGGAAAGUGGAAUUUCCGGUGUAGCGGUGGAAUGCGUAGAUAUCGGAAAGAACACCAGAAGCGAAGGCGGCUUUCUGGACUGUUCCUGACGCUGAGGCUCGAAAGCUAGGGUAGCGAACAGGAUUAGAUACCCUGGUAGUCCUAGCCGUAACCGAUGGAUACUAGACCUUACUUUUAGUGGGGUCGUAGCUAACGCGUUAAGUAUCCCGCCUGGGUAGUACGGUCGCAAGUCUGAAACUCAAAGGAAUUGACGGGGACCCGCACAAGCAGUGGAGCAUGUGGUUUAAUUCGAUUCAACGCGAAAAACCUUACCUGGGCUUGAACUGUAGGCAUUAGCAACCUGAAAGGGAUUGUGAUUCGUCUUUGACGAAACCUACAGAGGUGCUGCAUGGCUGUCGGCAGCUCGUGUCGUGAGAUGUUGGGUUAAGUCCCGCAACGAGCGAAACCCUUGCUCUUAGUUGUCAGCGAGUAAUGUCGGAUACUUUAAGAAGACUGCCGGUGAUAAAUCGGAGGAAGGUGGGGAUGACGUCAAGUCAGCAUGGCCUUUAUGUCCAGGGCUACACACGUGCUACAAUGGGUGGUACAGCGGGAAGCUAAGCCGCGAGGUGGAGCAAAUCCUCAAAACCACUCUUAGUUCGGAUUGCAGGCUGCAAUUCGCCUGCAUGAAGUUGGAAUUGCUAGUAAUCACGGAUCCGCAUUGCCGUGGUGAAUUCGUUCUCGGGUCUUGUACACACCGCCCGUCACAUCACGAAAGCUGGUGGUGCCAGAAGUCAUUUUCCCAACUUCGGAGGGAGAUGCCUAAGGCAUUGCUAGUGAUUGGGGUGAAGUCGUAACAAGGUA